CUCUAAUGUCUGAAAUGAUUUUAUCAAAUUGUGAUCAUGAUUGCAUUAUGCUUGUACUUUCUACUGUGAUGAUCAAUGAAAUAUGACUCAAGUGUGUUUAGCUGAACAAUUUCAUAGGUCCAGAUUCGUCAGGAAAGGGAGAAGUGUUGCAAUUAUUUCGUAUGUGUUCUAAGUUGAUUGAGAAUAGUGUCGACGCUUAGGACACAAGGAUGGCUUAAAAGGGUUCACGAUGAGGAUUACUCGUUCAGUGAAGAGGGGAUCGAUAGAACCGCGAUGCAUUUACAGAAGAAAAUUAAAAGCGGAGCUUCACCGG
Molecule: long non-coding RNA, 313 nt
Organism: Osmia bicornis bicornis
Lineage: Eukaryota; Metazoa; Arthropoda; Insecta; Hymenoptera; Megachilidae
Exons: 4
Source: RefSeq, a predicted model, not a curated record